This 973-nucleotide ribosomal RNA is filed under the name Cylindrospermopsis raciborskii UFMG44. Its description in RNAcentral is "bacterial SSU rRNA". It matches the Rfam family "Bacterial small subunit ribosomal RNA", at positions 61 to 1336 of the family's 1533-position model. Lineage: Bacteria; Bacillati; Cyanobacteriota; Cyanophyceae; Nostocales; Aphanizomenonaceae. The record is from RNAcentral.
UUGUUUUUUUUUUGUUGGAUUUUUUUCAUGCGAAGCCUGACGGAGCAAUACCGCGUGAGGGAGGAAGGCUCUUGGGUCGUAAACCUCUUUUCUCAAGGAAGAAGAAAGUGACGGUACUUGAGGAAUAAGCAUCGGCUAACUCCGUGCCAGCAGCCGCGGUAAUACGGAGGAUGCAAGCGUUAUCCGGAAUGAUUGGGCGUAAAGGGUCUGCAGGUGGAACUGAAAGUCUGCUGUUAAAGAGUUUGGCUUAACCAAAUAAAAGCGGUGGAAACUACAGAACUAGAGUGCGGUAGGGGCAAAAGGAAUUCCUGGUGUAGCGGUGAAAUGCGUAGAUAUCAGGAAGAACACCGGUGGCGAAAGCGUUUUGCUAGACCGUAACUGACACUGAGGGACGAAAGCUAGGGGAGCGAAUGGGAUUAGAUACCCCAGUAGUCCUAGCCGUAAACGAUGGAUACUAGGCGUGGCUUGUAUCGACCCGAGCCGUGCCGGAGCUAACGCGUUAAGUAUCCCGCCUGGGGAGUACGCACGCAAGUGUGAAACUCAAAGGAAUUGACGGGGGCCCGCACAAGCGGUGGAGUAUGUGGUUUAAUUCGAUGCAACGCGAAGAACCUUACCAAGACUUGACAUCCUGCGAAUCCCGGUGAAAGCUGGGAGUGCCUUAGGGAGCGCAGAGACAGGUGGUGCAUGGCUGUCGUCAGCUCGUGUCGUGAGAUGUUGGGUUAAGUCCCGCAACGAGCGCAACCCUCGUUUUUAGUUGCCAGCAUUAAGUUGGGCACUCUAGAGAGACUGCCGGUGACAAACCGGAGGAAGGUGGGGAUGACGUCAAGUCAGCAUGCCCCUUACGUCUUGGGCUACACACGUACUACAAUGCUACGGACAGAGGGCAGCGAGCCAGGGAUGGCAAGCGAAUCCAGAAACCGUAGCUCAGUUCAGAUCGAAGGCUGCAACUCGCCUUCGUGAAGGAGGAAUCGCU